ACAGGGAGCAUGCGCAUAUCAAGGCCGCGCUGCCAUUUUGAUGGCAGUGAUCAACACCGCAUAGUUUCUAUUUCAUAAGUACAUAUUCGAGCUGGCUUUAACCCAGCACGACACCUACUAAGGUAUCGUGUUUAUUAAAGAUAAGUAUAUAACGCGGGCAUCAUAAAUAAUCCGAACAACAAUAAAACAGAUGGACGGAGAGGACGACGACGUUGUAUCCGCCAGCCGCUCCGAUGAUGGCGGUGGUACACCUGUACAAGACGAACACCCAGCAUCAGAAGAUGAGCAGGCGAUGCCCACAAAACAUAAUUCAGAGGACGACGGCAGUGAGGGUGAGGACGGCCCCCAUCCCAUGGAGACCAGCGGCCCGGCCAGUGGCUCCGACAACGAGGGCCCGGCAAGGGGCCACAGCGACUCGGAGGGAGAGGUCCCUGGGCGUAACCGUGGAAACAACAGUGACUCCGAGGGAGAAGCCCCUCGGCGUAACUCUGGCAACAACAGCGACUCAGACGUAGAGGCCCCCGGGCGUAACCGUGGAAACAACAGUGACUCGGACGUAGAGGCCCCCGGGCGUAACCGUGGAAACAACAGUGACUCCGACGUAGAGGCCCCCGGGCGUAACCGUGGAAACAACAGCGACUCCGAGGUAGAGGCCCCUGGGCGUAACCGUGGAAACAACAGUGACUCCGACGUAGAGGCCCCCGGGCGUAACCGUGGAAACAACAGUGACUCCGAGGUAGAGGCCCCUGGGCGUAACCGUGGAAACAACAGUGACUCCGAGGUAGAGGCCCCUGGGCGUAACCGUGGGAACAACAGUGACUCCGAGGUAGAGGCCCCUGGGCGUAACCGUGGAAACAACAGUGACUCCGAGGUAGAGGCCCCUGGGCGUAACCGUGGAAACAACGGUGACUCCGAGGUAGAGCGGCCCAGGCCCGCGGACAGCGAUGAGGAAGACUCCGCUUUGAAGAGCCGAGGAAGUGAGGAGGACAGGAGGACCCCUCCCCGUGCCAAACACAGCCCCUCCUCUUCCCCGAGCUCCACCCCUAACGCAGGUGGAAAACCAGACGGCAGCACACCUGCGAGGAAGAAGAUUGCCGCCCUGCACUCAGACGACGAUGAAGAGGAGGAGGCGGGGGCUGUCGGGACGCAGGGAGCAGAGGCCGACGGGGCGAAGUGGAAGGCAGUGAUGAUGUCGGACAGCGAGGAUGAGGCGGGGGAGGAACGGAAGGCUGACAACGAAGAGGAGAAGGCGAAACGGACAGAAGAUAGCCAUGAUGAAGACGCUGGAACAGUGAAGAGGAAGAAGGCCGUCCUCUCAGACAGCGAGGACGACGACACUCCUACACCAGUGAAGCGCAGCAGAGCCGUGUCCGACGAGGAGAACUCGGACUCCGAGGGUCCGGACCGCAAAAUGGCAGCCAAGCUGAGGGAGCUGGGGUCCGACAGCGAGGACGAGGACGGUCCUGCCAAGACCAAGGACGAGAAGACGCUGUUUGGCAGUGACAGCGAGUCGGGAGAGGACCAGGAGGAGAAGAUGAUUGCGGACAUCUUUGGAGAGUCGGGAGACGAGGAGGAAGAGGAGUUUACGGGUUUCAACCAGGAGGAACUGGAGGGGCAGCAGAAGGUAGAGAACCAGCCAGCUGAGGAAGACUCUGAUUCGGAUGAAGGAGUCGACCGUAGUGGCAAAGACACCAGCAUGAUGUCAGACUUCGACAUCAUGCUGGCGCGUAAGAAGGCAGCGGGCGGGAAGCGCAGGAGGAACCGAGACGGAGGAACGUUCAUCAGCGACGCCGACGACGUCGUCAGCGCCAUGAUCAUCAAGAUGAACGAGGCCGCAGAGGAGGACAGAACGCUCAACGCUCAAAAGAAGCCAGCGCUGAAGAAACUCACACUGCUGCCUGCGGUUGUCACGCAUCUCAAGAAGCAGGAUCUGAAGGAGACGUUCAUCGACAGCGGCGUGAUGACGGCCAUCAAGGAGUGGAUCGGCCCCUUGCCAGACAAGAGCCUCCCUGCCCUCCGCAUCCGAGGGGAGCUGCUCAAGAUCCUGCAUGAGCUUCCCAGCGUGAGCCAGGAAACUCUGAAACACAGCGGCAUCGGACGUGCGGUCAUGUUCCUCUACAAGCACCCCAAGGAGUCGCGACCCAACAAAGACCUGGCUCUCAAACUCAUCAACGAGUGGUCCCGACCCAUCUUUGGUCUGACGUCCAACUACAAGGGGAUGACCCGAGAGGAACGGCAACAGAGAGACCUGGACCAGCAGAUGCCCCAGAAGAGGGGACUAAGUCAGGCACACAAGGAGGUGAAGGCGUCGGAGCCUGAUGUCUUCUCUCCUACAACCAGUUCUGGCGGUCAGACUCCCCGUCGGGACCUAGAGAAGCAACUCACUGGAGAGGAAAAGGCUCUGCGACCUGGGGAGCCAGGCUUCUGUGCCCGGGCCAGGGUACCCAUGCCCUCCAACAAGGACUACGUAGUCCGACCCAAGUGGAACAUAGAGAUGGAGUCUAGCAGGAGUGGAUUUAAGAAAGGCGUCAGUCGAUUGGAGAAGCACAAGCGUCGUUUUGCUGAGCAGAAGAAACGGGGGCGCCUGCAAGGAGCCAUCAAGAUCAGUGUGCAGGGGAACCACAUGCCCUUGUAGUACCUGCUGCUACCCAUUGGGGGCAGUAAGUACCAUCCUGUAGUACUUGCUGCUACACAUAGGGGCAGGACCCAUGAAGAAGGGAGUGUCUCGCGUGUACAAACAGACGCGGCGCUCACGGGACAUCCUGCGGCUCACCAAGACGGGCCACGCCGUCAAGAUCAGCGUGGAGGGGAGAAGCCUGCCGCUCUGACUUCACCCACCUCGCCCCUGCCUAUUUUAGUUUAUUUUUAAUAAUUUGCUCAGAAACCCCCCCUCCCCUGUGUGUGUGUGUGUGUGUGUGUGUGUGUGUGUGUGUGUGUGUGUGUGUGUGUGUGUGUGUGUGUGUGUGUGUGUGUGUGUGUGUGUGUGUGUGUGUGUGUGUGUGUGUGUGUGUGUGUGUGUGUCACACUCAGUACCCAGGGAUGUUUAAUGUGACCGGCGUGUGAGUGUGCACCCUGUUCUACGGUAGAAGAAUCUUUUCAUAUUAAACAGAGUUCUGCUCAAA
This is an RNA transcript of Gadus macrocephalus (Pacific cod), 3122 nucleotides long. It is a transcript of the gene named protein IWS1 homolog, with no coding region annotated. Lineage: Eukaryota; Metazoa; Chordata; Actinopteri; Gadiformes; Gadidae. The transcript has 17 exons. The record is from RefSeq and is a predicted model, not a curated record.